GAUGAAGAACGUAGCGAAAUGCGAUAAGUAAUGUGAAUUGCAGAAUUCAGAGAAUCAUCGAAUCUUUGAACGCACAUUGCGCCCGCCAGUAUUCUGGCGGGCAUGCCUGUUCGAGCGUCAUUUCAACCAUCAAGCCCCCCGGCUUGUGUUGGGGACCUGCGGCUGCCGCAGGCCCUGAAAAGCAGUGGCGGGCUCGCUGUCACACCGAGCGUAGUAGAUCUCAUCUCGCUCAGGGCGUGCUGCGGGUUCCGGCCGUUAAACCACCUUCAUAACCCAAGGUUGACCUCGGAUCAGGUAGGAAGACCCGCUGAACUUAAGCAUAUCAAUAAGCGGAGGA
This 337-nucleotide unclassified non-coding RNA is filed under the name soil metagenome. RNAcentral's name for it is "partial contains 5.8S ribosomal RNA, internal transcribed spacer 2, and large subunit ribosomal RNA". The stretch from base 1 to 120 matches the Rfam family "5.8S ribosomal RNA", at positions 35 to 154 of the family's 154-position model. The record is from RNAcentral.